GGUGUGAAUAUAUUUUGAAUACAAUCAGAGAUAUGAAAAAUUGUACUCUAUAUGUAUAAUAAGAAUUAUAAUGCAUUCUUCUGUCAUAUAUAUAUAUAUAAAAAUUCUGGAAUUUAAUUGGUGCUGUUUACAAUCUUUUAAUUCAGACACUGAAGGCCUUUAUCAUCUGAAUAGUACUCUGAGAUUUCAUUUUGUUCUUUUCUAGAAUUUUGGCACAUUCUCAAUCUUCCUAAUGAUUCCUUCUCUGGAAACUAGGCAUGGAGAGUGAUGGAGAUGCUCUUCCUUACUGGUGUGGCAGAGAGAAGCUUGACACUGCUGAGAGAUAUAAUUGCCUAAGUCCCACUGAGUCUGUAGCUGUGGGCCUGGUGAGCUUUACUCUGAAAGGAGGAUGGGGAGUAUCUCACAGUGAGAGGGCCCAGUGUCUGCAUUAUUCACUCUAUGCAUGCUACACAACCAUUCUAAUCACAUGUAUAUACUUUACCUGGGUGUGUCCUCCCUGCAUUGCUCUGACCACUCUAAACUGAAUGGGGUGCAACAUACAUAACCUUGGGCAGCCUCUGCAAAUUUCUAGGUUUCUGUACUCAAACAUGUUAAAUGCUACAAUCCAUAUUUAGACAGUUGUUCUUUCUUUUCCCUGCCAUAGCUUUUCAUGACUACCUUCUUCCCAAUCCAUUGAAUCACCUUUGAAGGUUAAAUGAUUCUAUGGUUGAAUUAAAUUGAUAUGCUGUUCACCAGUUCACCAUUUUUUGUAGUCUAAGUAUAUUCAUUUAGUCUGACUGCACAUUUGUCUGGCAGAAAGUAUUGGGCACAAUGUUCCCUGAUAGAGGUUGGAAGCUAAUACAAUGACCAUAGUACCCAUUCUAGAAGAGUACUACAUUAGCUAAUUUAAUAUGCAAUAUAUAACUGAACCCUACUGUGCCUCAUAGACCAAUGAACAUGUAUGCUUCUAUACCUCUCCUCUUUCAUUGUUUUUAUUCCUACAGGUCAACAAGGACAAAGUACUGGGCCUUACAUUAAAAUCCAUUCUUUCACCAUGAGAUGUGAAAUAAAGAAAUUUGUGGGAAAUGAUUUCUGCCAUCCUGUCUUUGGGGGCCAGUGGGAAUUCUCAUGUUAGUGAUAUUUUAUCCAUGAAAUAUUGAUAUUAUAUGAUUUUUGUAGGUAUUAUGUAAUACCCCACAGGACACUGUACUGGGCAGCAAUGGAAUCUGGGUCACUGAUGAUUGUGUGUUUGUGUGUGUGUGUGUGUGUGUGUGUGUGUGUGAGAGAGAGACACAGAGAGAGGGUGAGCAAGAGAGAAAGGGAGAGACAUCUAUAGAUAUAAGAUACAUACUGGAUAUAGAUAUAUUGAAACACUCUAUCCAACAAUAGCAGAAUACAAUUUAUUUUCAAGCAUACCUGAACAUUCUCCAAGAUAGAUUAGAUGUUAAGCCAUAAAACUAUACUCAAUAAGCUUUUAAAAGGACUGAAAUAAUGUAGAGUAUGUUCUAUGACCACAGAGAAAUUAGAAAUAAAAAUCAAGUUGAAAAUUGCCAAAUAUUUGGAAAUAAACACACCAUAUAGAACCCAUGAGUAAAAUAAAAUAUGUUAAAAGAAAGUAUAAAACAUUUUGUGCUGAGUGUGAUAUAAUUAAAGAAAUGCUCAGAUGGAAGCAUACAGUGAUUAUAUCAGAAAAGAGAAAGAUAAAUAAGCUUCUACCUUGGGAAAUAAGAAAAAUGCUAAAUGAGAAAAUACAACCCAAAGUGCACAGGAGGAAGUAAAUAAUAUAGAUCUGAGCAAAAAUUGUUGAUAUGAAGAAAGAAAAAAUAUACAAAAAAAUCCAUAAAAUUAAACAUGAGUGAAAUUGAUAAAAUUUAUAUAGACUGAUACAAAUCACUAAAAUUAGUUUUG
This 1887-nucleotide long non-coding RNA is filed under the name Marmota monax (woodchuck). The record is from RNAcentral. Lineage: Eukaryota; Metazoa; Chordata; Mammalia; Rodentia; Sciuridae.